Molecule: ribosomal RNA, 139 nt
Filed under: uncultured bacterium
Lineage: Bacteria
Description: partial 16S ribosomal RNA
Rfam family: Bacterial small subunit ribosomal RNA
Source: RNAcentral
UGGGGGAUAUUGCACAAUGGGGGGAAACCCUGAUGCAGCGACGCCGCGUGAGUGAAGAAGUAUUUCGGUAUGUAAAGCUCUAUCAGCAGGGAAGAAGAAAGACGGUACCUGACUAAGAAGCCCCGGCUAACUACGUGCC